RNAcentral lists this non-coding RNA (135 nucleotides) under Nocardioides dokdonensis. Lineage: Bacteria; Bacillati; Actinomycetota; Actinomycetes; Propionibacteriales; Nocardioidaceae. The record is from RNAcentral.
UGCGCCCACACGUCUCGUGGUGACCAGGAACCCGGUGCCGGCAGCGAUGUCGAAGUCCGGGGCGGUUCCGCCACUGUGAGCCCGCUGCGAGAGCAGCGGGUGUAGCCAGACACUGGCCACGGGACCUCCGCCGAC